This 446-nucleotide ribosomal RNA is filed under the name uncultured bacterium. Its description in RNAcentral is "partial 16S ribosomal RNA". It matches the Rfam family "Bacterial small subunit ribosomal RNA", at positions 29 to 523 of the family's 1533-position model. The record is from RNAcentral.
AACGAACGCUGGCGGCAGGCUUAACACAUGCAAGUCGAGCGCCCCGCAAGGGGAGCGGCAGACGGGUGAGUAACACGUGGGAAUCUACCAUCCCUACGGAACAACUCCGGGAAACUGGAGCUAAUACCGUAUACGCCCUUUGGGGGAAAGAUCUAUCGGGGAUGGAUGAGCCCGCGUUGGAUUAGCUAGUUGGUGGGGUAAAGGCCUACCAAGGCGACGAUCCAUAGCUGGUCUGAGAGGAUGAUCAGCCACAUUGGGACUGAGACACGGCCCAAACUCCUACGGGAGGCGGCAGUGGGGAAUAUUGGACAAUGGGCGCAAGCCUGAUCCAGCCAUGCCGCGUGAAUGAUGAAGGCCUUAGGGUUGUAAAGUUCUUUCACCGAUGAAGAUAAUGACGGUAGUCGGAGAAGAAGCCCCGGCUAACUUCGUGCCAGCAGCCGCCGUAA